RNAcentral lists this ribosomal RNA (391 nucleotides) under uncultured bacterium. Its description in RNAcentral is "bacterial SSU rRNA". It matches the Rfam family "Bacterial small subunit ribosomal RNA", at positions 957 to 1349 of the family's 1533-position model. The record is from RNAcentral.
UAACGCGAAGAACCUUACCUGGUCUUGACAUCCUGGGAGCCCUGCAGAGAUGUGGGGGUGCCUUCGGGAACCCAGAGACAGGUGCUGCAUGGCUGUCGUCAGCUCGUGUCGUGAGAUGUUGGGUUAAGUCCCGCAACGAGCGCAACCCUUGCCCUUAGUUGCCAGCAUUCAGUUGGGAACUCUAAGGGGACCGCCGGUGACAAACCGGAGGAAGGUGGGGAUGCCGUCAAGUCAUCAUGGCCCUUAUGACCAGGGCUACACACGUGCUACAAUGGCCGGUACAAAGGGUCGCCAACCCGCGAGGGGGAGCCAAUCCCAGAAAGCCGGUCGUAGUCCGGAUCGCAGUCUGCAACUCGACUGCGUGAAGUCGGAAUCGCUAGUAAUCGUGAAU